AAUAGUCAAUUAUGUGUCUCCGUUAGAGACUACUAUUGCUACAAGUUUCAAAUGCGUCGUGGUGUAUUUAACACCAUGCUAUACGGUAAACGACUAUUCCAACAAUAUGUGGUUGAUAUGUACAUCAAGGUUGAAACCUCAAGACUGGACUAUAUAAAAAAACACCAGAAACAAAUACGUGCUGAUCUAUACCAAGGUGUUGUUGAUAGCCUUCAAGCUGGGGAAUACCGUGCGGAUGCAGUGGGCAAACGGACUAUAGUUCCUUCAUCAUUUAUUGGAGGGAGAAGAGAUAGGAGACGAAUAUACCUUGAUGCCAUGGCCUUGGUUCAAAAGUAUGGGAAGCCAGACAUUUUUUAA
Molecule: ribosomal RNA, 357 nt
Filed under: Triticum aestivum (bread wheat)
Lineage: Eukaryota; Viridiplantae; Streptophyta; Magnoliopsida; Poales; Poaceae
Description: partial small subunit ribosomal RNA
Source: RNAcentral